UCGGACUGCAUUGACAGCUAGGAUGUUGGCUUGGAAGCAGCCAUUCAUUUAAAGAGUGCGUAACAGCUCACUGGUCAAGUGUCCGGGCGCGGAUAAUGUAACGGGGCUCAAGCUAGACACCGAAGCUUCGGGUUCGAUCUUUGAUCGAGCGGUAGGAGAGCGUUCCCAUGGCAGUGAAGCGGCGGGGGAACCCAGCCGUGGAGCCCUGGGAAGUGAGAAUGCCGGCAUGAGUAACGAAAGAGGAGUGAGAAUCUCCUCCACCGAUUUCCUAAGGAUUCCUAAGUAAAGUUCGUCUGCUUAGGGUUAGUCGGGACCUAAGGCGAGGCCG
Molecule: ribosomal RNA, 328 nt
Filed under: Pycnococcus provasolii
Lineage: Eukaryota; Viridiplantae; Chlorophyta; Pseudoscourfieldiophyceae; Pseudoscourfieldiales; Pycnococcaceae
Description: partial Bacterial large subunit ribosomal RNA
Rfam family: Bacterial large subunit ribosomal RNA
Source: RNAcentral